UACGUAGGGGGCAAGCGUUGUCCGGAUUUAUUGGGCGUAAAGAGCGUGUAGGCGGCUUUACAGGUCCGUUGUGAAAACUCGAGGCUCAACCUCGAGACGCCGAUGGAAACCCCCCAGCUAGAGUCCGGAAGAGGAGAGUGGAAUUCCUGGUGUAGCGGUGAAAUGCGCAGAUAUCAGGAAGAACACCCGUGGCUAAGGCGGCUCUCUAGUACGGUACUGACGCUGAGACGCGAAAGCGUGGGGAGCGAACAGG
RNAcentral lists this ribosomal RNA (253 nucleotides) under uncultured bacterium. RNAcentral describes it as "partial 16S ribosomal RNA". It matches the Rfam family "Bacterial small subunit ribosomal RNA", at positions 524 to 776 of the family's 1533-position model. The record is from RNAcentral.